GAGGGGUCCGGGUUGUACUUGCAUAACAUGAACACAUAAAACACAUUAUAAACUCUGAAUAGUUCUGAAGGUAGUGCUAGUUUAUAGACGGCCAUACCAAUUUUGUUUAAAAUUUCGAAUGGCCCAAUAAACUAUGGAUUUAGUUUUCCCCUCUUGCCAAACCUACUGAUUCCCUUGAAAUGAGUGACCUUAAAGAACACUCGAUCGCCUUUAUCAAAUUUCAAAUCCCUCUUCCGGGUGUCCGCAUAACUCUUCUGCCUGCUUUGGACCGUCUGGAU
RNAcentral lists this long non-coding RNA (278 nucleotides) under Carica papaya (papaya). Its description in RNAcentral is "long non-coding RNA (CPAP_LNC011634)". The record is from RNAcentral. Lineage: Eukaryota; Viridiplantae; Streptophyta; Magnoliopsida; Brassicales; Caricaceae.